AUCUUAUCUAGAGAUCCCUACUUACCUGAGGACCUUGAAGUCUUUCUGAAGGUAUUGAUAGAGAAGAUGGAGCUAAACUUUUGUCAGAGAUUCACAUCAAAAGGGCAAGAAAUAACACACAGAAGCUGCAGCAAGGGAAGUUAUUGAAUCUGUUGUGGAAGUUGGAGUGUAACUAUUUGUGUUUCACAUCUGAUGGAUGCCUUCAGUUUAUCUGCUCUCCAGAAGACUUCCGGAAGACACAAGUUUUGUUCUUAACAUCAAUUUUGGUAGCCAGCAGAAGAAUGAAUAUGUUAAAAUCUUAAGCAAAUCAAAUCCAGUUACAAGAUGAGAACAAUGCUGCAAAGAACUUUUUACUUGGAGUUUUCAUUAGAAGGUAAUGAUAGUAUCAUUCAAAGAAAAAACUGAAAAUUUGUGGAUAUUAUUUCUGUAUGAAGAUAUUUUGUAAUUUCCAAAUUAAUCGCUAUUGUAAGCAUGUGAUAUCAUGUAUUUAUAUCUGAUGCAUAAUUUGCAUUGCAAGAAUGUCAGUAUUAAUGCUCUUAACAUAUUUACUGCAUCUGAUAAGGUAAUAUUAGGCAGCUAGAUUGGCAAGCUUGAUUCAGCAAGUCACAAAUAUAUACAUAAAGUAAAAAAGGACCACUUUUUUUUUCCUCUCUUUUUGUGGAAUUCUUCAUGAUAUUGAGAUGUAAUAAAACUACCAAACAGAAUUUGAUUCACAAAUCUGGAAUGAAUAGGAAAGGAAUAUGUUUUCUGUUUAAGGUUUAUUUUAUGUAAUAUGCAAGGAAAAAAGAAUGUUUUGCAUUCAUAUUUUCUAAAGUUCUAUUAACAAAGACCUAUGGCUUUUCUUUGAUAAAUAGCUAACUUGUUCGGUGGAAUGCACGGUAAGAAAUAUUCUUAAAUGGACAAUUGUCCUUUUUGUAAUUUCAUUUAUAUAGUAAAAAUAAUCAGAAAAAAUCACCUGAGAGCUAAUUUUUUAAUCUCUCUGGAAAAGUAAAAUGUAUUUAAUGAUUUUCUGAAUGUUUUGGAAAGGUAUGUGAAAAUAAUGUAUUUGUAUUAAUCAGAACACCAUUUAGCUUUUAUCUUCUAUCAUCAUGCAGUAUUCUGUCACAUCAGCGUAGCAGCGCUAUAAAAAAUCUGAAGGUUUCUGUGUGAAGCUUUGACUACUGUAACCUCUUUCUUUGAACAAGUGAAUCCCAAAGUACAUAAAUAAAGGCAUGUCAGU
This 1219-nucleotide long non-coding RNA is filed under the name Gallus gallus (chicken). Its description in RNAcentral is "lncRNA (ENSGALG00010008761.1)". The record is from RNAcentral. Lineage: Eukaryota; Metazoa; Chordata; Aves; Galliformes; Phasianidae.